GAUGAACGCUGGCGGCGUGCCUAAUACAUGCAAGUCGAGCGAACAGAUAAGGAGCUUGCUCCUUUGACGUUAGCGGCGGACGGGUGAGUAACACGUGGGUAACCUACCUAUAAGACUGGGAUAACUUCGGGAAACCGGAGCUAAUACCGGAUAACAUUUGGAACCGCAUGGUUCUAAAGUGAAAGAUGGUUUUGCUAUCACUUAUAGAUGGACCCGCGCCGUAUUAGCUAGUUGGUAAGGUAACGGCUUACCAAGGCGACGAUACGUAGCCGACCUGAGAGGGUGAUCGGCCACACUGGAACUGAGACACGGUCCAGACUCCUACGGGAGGCAGCAGUAGGGAAUCUUCCGCAAUAGGCGAAAGCCUGACGGAGCAACGCCGCGUGAGUGAUGAAGGGUUUCGGCUCGUAAAACUCUGUUAUUAGGGAAGAACAAAUGUGUAAGUAACUGUGCACGUCUUGACGGUACCUAAUCAGAAAGCCACGGCUAACUACGU
This 496-nucleotide ribosomal RNA is filed under the name uncultured bacterium. Its description in RNAcentral is "partial 16S ribosomal RNA". It matches the Rfam family "Bacterial small subunit ribosomal RNA", at positions 28 to 506 of the family's 1533-position model. The record is from RNAcentral.